AUGGCCCAUUCGUCUCUAUCAACCGUGUUGCUCUUGUGCCUGGCCAUGGCGGCGUCGGCGCAGUUGUCGCCGACGUUCUACCAAACGUCGUGCCCGAACGCUCUGUCCACUAUCAAGGCCGCCGUGACGGCUGCCGUCAACAAGGAGAACCGCAUGGGCGCGUCGCUGCUCCGGCUGCACUUCCACGACUGCUUCGUCCAAGGUUGUGACGCGUCUGUUCUGCUGUCUAGCAUGGAACAAAACGCUUUCCCGAACGUGAUGUCGCUGCGAGGCUUCGAAGUCAUCGACAGCAUCAAGGCGAAGCUCGAGACCAUGUGCAAGCAGACCGUCUCCUGCGCCGACAUCCUCACCGUCGCUGCCCGCGACUCUGUCGUCGCCUUAGGAGGGCCUUCGUGGACGGUUCCUCUUGGAAGGAGGGACUCCACCAAUGCAAACGAAGCCGCGGCGAACUCCGACCUACCUCCCCCAUUCUUUGACCUCGUUAACCUCACCCAAUCCUUCGGCGACAAAGGCUUCACCGUGACCGACAUGGUCGCCCUCUCGGGCGCUCACACCAUCGGGCAGGCGUAG
RNAcentral lists this ribosomal RNA (570 nucleotides) under Triticum aestivum (bread wheat). RNAcentral's name for it is "partial small subunit ribosomal RNA". The record is from RNAcentral. Lineage: Eukaryota; Viridiplantae; Streptophyta; Magnoliopsida; Poales; Poaceae.